RNAcentral lists this ribosomal RNA (503 nucleotides) under uncultured bacterium. RNAcentral's name for it is "partial 16S ribosomal RNA". It matches the Rfam family "Bacterial small subunit ribosomal RNA", at positions 28 to 523 of the family's 1533-position model. The record is from RNAcentral.
GAUGAACGCUAGCGACAGGCCUAACACAUGCAAGUCGAGGGGCAUCACGGAGUAGCAAUACUUUGGUGGCGACCGGCGCACGGGUGAGUAACGCGUAUGCAAUCUACCUACAACAGGGGGAUAACCCGGAGAAAUCCGGACUAAUACCGCAUAACGCAGGGGUCCCGCAUGGGAAUAUUUGUUAAAGAUUUAUCGGUUGUAGAUGAGCAUGCGUUCCAUUAGGUAGUUGGUGAGGUAACGGCCCACCAAGCCUGCGAUGGAUAGGGGAACUGAGAGGUUUGUCCCCCACACUGGAACUGAGACACGGACCAGACUCCUACGGGAGGCAGCAGUGAGGAAUAUUGGUCAAUGGGCGAGAGCCUGAACCAGCCAAAUCGCGUGAAGGAAGACUGCCUUAUGGGUUGUAAACUUCUUUUGUACAGGAAUAAAAAGAGGGACGUGUCCUUCAUUGCAUGUACUGUACGAAUAAGCAUCGGCUAACUCCGUGCCAGCAGCCGCUGUAA